RNAcentral lists this ribosomal RNA (465 nucleotides) under Vreelandella stevensii. Its description in RNAcentral is "partial 16S ribosomal RNA". It matches the Rfam family "Bacterial small subunit ribosomal RNA", at positions 338 to 795 of the family's 1533-position model. The record is from RNAcentral. Lineage: Bacteria; Pseudomonadati; Pseudomonadota; Gammaproteobacteria; Oceanospirillales; Halomonadaceae.
CCUACGGGCGGCAGCAGUGGGGAAUAUUGGACAAUGGGGGGAACCCUGAUCCAGCCAUGCCGCGUGUGUGAAGAAGGCCCUCGGGUUGUAAAGCACUUUCAGUGAGGAAGAACGCCUGGUGGUUAAUACCCAUCAGGAAAGACAUCACUCACAGAAGAAGCACCGGCUAACUCCGUGCCAGCAGCCGCGGUAAUACGGAGGGUGCGAGCGUUAAUCGGAAUUACUGGGCGUAAAGCGCGCGUAGGUGGCUUGAUAAGCCGGUUGUGAAAGCCCCGGGCUCAACCUGGGAACGGCAUCCGGAACUGUCAAGCUAGAGUGCAGGAGAGGAAGGUAGAAUUCCCGGUGUAGCGGUGAAAUGCGUAGAGAUCGGGAGGAAUACCAGUGGCGAAGGCGGCCUUCUGGACUGACACUGACACUGAGGUGCGAAAGCGUGGGUAGCAAACAGGAUUAGAUAGCCCUGUAGUC